AUUGAACGCUGGCGGCAGGCCUAACACAUGCAAGUCGAACGGUAACAGGAAACAGCUUGCUGUUUCGCUGACGAGUGGCGGACGGGUGAGUAAUGUCUGGGAAACUGCCUGAUGGAGGGGGAUAACUACUGGAAACGGUAGCUAAUACCGCAUAACGUCGCAAGACCAAAGAGGGGGACCUUCGGGCCUCUUGCCAUCGGAUGUGCCCAGAUGGGAUUAGCUAGUAGGUGGGGUAACGGCUCACCUAGGCGACGAUCCCUAGCUGGUCUGAGAGGAUGACCAGCCACACUGGAACUGAGACACGGUCCAGACUCCUACGGGAGGCAGCAGUGGGGAAUAUUGCACAAUGGGCGCAAGCCUGAUGUAGCCAUGCCGCGUGUAUGAAGAAGGCCUUCGGGUUGUAAAGUACUUUCAGCGGGGAGGAAGGGAGUAAAGUUAAUACCUUUACUCAUUGACGUUACCCGCAGAAGAAGCACCGGCUAACUCCGUG
Molecule: ribosomal RNA, 490 nt
Filed under: uncultured bacterium
Lineage: Bacteria
Description: partial 16S ribosomal RNA
Rfam family: Bacterial small subunit ribosomal RNA
Source: RNAcentral